Molecule: ribosomal RNA, 463 nt
Filed under: uncultured bacterium
Lineage: Bacteria
Description: partial 16S ribosomal RNA
Rfam family: Bacterial small subunit ribosomal RNA
Source: RNAcentral
GAUGGACGCUGACAGAAUGCUUAACACAUGCAAGUCUUUGGCGAAUCUGUGCUUGCACAGGCUAGCCAAGGCGGACGGGUGAGUAACGCGUAAAGAACUUGCCCUGCAGACAGGGAUAACAGACGGAAACGACUGAUAACACCUGAUACAGUUGCCGGCACGCAUGUGCCUGGUAAUGAAAAGAGAUGCUGCAGGAGAGCUUUGCGUCCUAUUAGCUUGUUGGUGAGGUGACGGCUCACCAAGGCGAUGAUAGGUAGCCGGCCUGAGAGGGUGAACGGCCACAAGGGGACUGAGAUACGGCCCUUACUCCUACGGGAGGCAGCAGUGGGGAAUAUUGGACAAUGGGGGCAACCCUGAUCCAGCAAUUCUGUGUGCACGAAGAAGGUUUUCGGAUUGUAAAGUGCUUUCAGCAGGGAAGAAGAAAGUGACGGUACCUGCAGAAGAAGCGACGGCUAAAUACGUG